CCCUGCCCCUUCAGCCCCAGAUUCUGGUGUGUAGCACACAUUGGAAAUGAUCACCCAUGCCCUAAUUUUACCGACUAGAAAACGGACAUGAAGCUGGCGAGUCACAUGCCCCAAGUAAACAAGCUGCACACCCUGAGCUCGCCUGUCCCAGCAAGGCCUCCUGAGAGGGGACGGGGGACACCAGCCGCUUUCCACCCACCCCUCCAUCACCUCCCCUGAAAUCCUCACACCCUGCGUCUUCCCUGGAUCUUGGCAGAACCCAAAUUCCUAUCCUGUUUGAAAUUCUUUCUGCUAUUUCAGAUUUCUCUUUGGGGAUGAAUUGAGGUCUGCCUCCGAAAACGAGAAGUCCAGCCUCGCAGGGAGAACCCGUGGCGUGUCGCCGGCUGCUCUCUCUUCCUCUACCUGGAAGGGGCAUCGGGGGUUGCCCGGUUCAGCCCCAGAAGGAAAGUGAAACUGACAGGAGAGAAACAGCCUCUCCAAAGUCACAUGGACACGAGCCAUCAUUCCCAACCAACCAAAGGACAGGGCGUCAGCCCGAAGACCCUGUGUUCAUCCCAGAACGGCUACAUUGGACAUGAAUUUUGAGAAUCAGUCUCUGAGGUUCUAGAUGGUGCUUUUGUUUCCAUCAGUGACUUUCCUGUGCCCACCCAGAGCGGAAAACAGGGAUUCUAUGAAGAAGUAGGAGCUCUCUCCCCAGGCCCCACACACAGCCUGGCAACCCUGCCUCCCAUGGGCACCGCUACUCCUGCCCCAGCACUGACUGGGCAUGGGAGGACUCCUAAACCACCACCACCACCUCUCCUAAUGUCAUGGGCAAGAAGGGGGGAAUUCCUGCACCUAAUAACUCAAAUCUGGUAGCCAAGCUGAUUUGGGACAGGGAUAGACAGUUAUUGUUAAAGAGAAUAUU
RNAcentral lists this long non-coding RNA (907 nucleotides) under Homo sapiens (human). RNAcentral's name for it is "HSALNT0025147". The record is from RNAcentral. Lineage: Eukaryota; Metazoa; Chordata; Mammalia; Primates; Hominidae.